CGUGUAGGCGGGAUGGUCAGUUAGAGGUGAAAACCUGCGGCUUAACCGUAGGCCUGCCUUUAAUACUGCCAUUCUUGAGUGCGAGAGGGGAAAGUGGAAUUCUUGGUGUAGCGGUGAAAUGCGUAGAUAUCAAGAAGAACACCGGUAGCGAAGGCUGCUUUCUGGCUCGUAACUGACGCUGAGGCGCGAAAGCGUGGGGAGCAAACA
This 207-nucleotide ribosomal RNA is filed under the name uncultured bacterium. RNAcentral describes it as "partial 16S ribosomal RNA". It matches the Rfam family "Bacterial small subunit ribosomal RNA", at positions 568 to 774 of the family's 1533-position model. The record is from RNAcentral.